This 496-nucleotide ribosomal RNA is filed under the name uncultured bacterium. Its description in RNAcentral is "partial 16S ribosomal RNA". It matches the Rfam family "Bacterial small subunit ribosomal RNA", at positions 28 to 507 of the family's 1533-position model. The record is from RNAcentral.
GAUGAACGCUGGCGGCGUGCCUAAUACAUGCAAGUCGAGCGAACGGACGAGAAGCUUGCUUUUCUGAUGUUAGCGGCGGACGGGUGAGUAACACGUGGAUAACCUACCUAUAAGACUGGGAUAACUUCGGGAAACCGGAGCUAAUACCGGAUAAUAUUUUGAACCGCAUGGUUCAAAAGUGAAAGACGGUCUUGCUGUCACUUAUAGAUGGAUCCGCGCUGCAUUAGCUAGUUGGUAAGGUAACGGCUUACCAAGGCAACGAUGCAUAGCCGACCUGAGAGGGUGAUCGGCCACACUGGAACUGAGACACGGUCCAGACUCUACGGGAGGCAACAGUAGGGAAUCUUCCGCAAUGGGCGAAAGCCUGACGGAGCAACGCCGCGUGAGUGAUGAAGGUCUUCGGAUCGUAAAACUCUGUUAUUAGGGAAGAACAUAUGUGUAAGUAACUGUGCACAUCUUGACGGUACCUAAUCAGAAAGCCACGGCUAACUACGUG